Long non-coding RNA from Xenia sp. Carnegie-2017, 503 nucleotides. RefSeq lists it as uncharacterized. The transcript has 4 exons. Lineage: Eukaryota; Metazoa; Cnidaria; Anthozoa; Malacalcyonacea; Xeniidae. The record is from RefSeq and is a predicted model, not a curated record.
UACUAACCAUUCUUUUCCCAGAAAAUUUCCGAGAAGCAGUUAAAUAUCCAUAGAGAACAUGCAAAUUAUGGGAAAAUAUUCAGUGAGUGGAGCAGUAUUGAAGAUGAAAUGGGCAAUGCUUUGCAAAAGGCCGGUCACUACAUGGUCAAUUUUGCAUCCGCCAUUGAUGAUCUUCAAGAAGAAGAAGAAUGUCAUCAUGUAGAUAAAUUGAAGGAGUAUCACCUUUAUGCGGACUAAAUCAGAGUACUGACAAGAAAGCAUCAGAUACGUCAUUACGAUCUCGAGAAAGCUGAAGAAACCGUCGCGUCUAAAACAGCGCAGAAGGAUGAAUUAUUGAAAGUGGUAAAUUAUCUACGUAGACAGUAGACUUUUUUCCCAAGCAUUCAAAAACUUUCGUCACCUGAUGGAGGUUUAUUUCCAUCGCCAAUUUAAGUAGCCGUCCAUAAUUUGGUGUUUUGAUAUUAAGUAAUUUUUACACAUGCAUAAAAGAUGAAAGUUUUAAA